AUGGGGGUGGUGCGGGAGGUGCUGGGCGACUCUGUCGCCGACGAGGUGGACGACCCCAUCGUCUCCUACAUCGCCAACGCCCUCGCCGAUCAGGACUUCGACUUCGGCCCCUCCGAUGGGCACGGCAACUUCGACGCCCUCGGCGACCUCCUCAUCGACGCCCGCUACGUCUACGACCGCCCGCGAGCACUGCCUCGAGGUACCAGCCGUGCGCAGCCUUGCCACCCUCUGCGCAUGAACACGGGGAUGGAGGAGGAGGUCGCGCUGAGGAAGUCAGAGAAUAUCUUCGAUGCGCCCUUGCUGUCCUGUCGUGACAAAGCCAAGAUUGAACGGAACAAGAGAAACCAAGAGAGGCAAAGAGAGGGCCAGUACCAAAUGCAUGUUGCCGAAAUUAGGGUACUCAGAGCUGGAAUGCCUCCAGUUGGUCUUGUUGGAAGAAAUGGUACUGGAAAGACUCCUCUUCUCAGAGCUAUGGCUCAUCAUGCAAUUGAUGGAAUUCCUAAGAACUGCCAGAUAUUGCAUGUUGAACAAGAGGUCACGGGUGAUGACACAACAGCUUUGCAGUGUGCACUGAAUGCUGAUGUUGAGCGGGUCCAACUUAUGCAUGAAGAGGCCCAUCUGGGUCAGUUACUGAAAGAUCUAGAGAAUGAGGCAGAGUCAAAACAGAGCCUAGACAAGAGCAAGGGUGAUGUGACAAAGAUGCUAUCAGCAAGAGGCUUGACGAGAUAUACAAGUGACUUGAACCUGUUGAUGCAGAUGCAGCAGAAGCUCGUGCGGCAUCAAUCCUGGAGGGUCUCAGUUUCACUCCAGAAGUGCAAUGCAGAAAUACAAGAUCAUUUUCGAGAAUAG
This 849-nucleotide ribosomal RNA is filed under the name Triticum aestivum (bread wheat). RNAcentral describes it as "partial small subunit ribosomal RNA". The record is from RNAcentral. Lineage: Eukaryota; Viridiplantae; Streptophyta; Magnoliopsida; Poales; Poaceae.